GGCUGUCACAACGACAGUAAACCGGAUUUAUUAACAUUUAUUUGUAUCCUGCCAAUAUCACAAGAACCAUAACUGAUGAACGGUGAAAGUGAAAAUCGUCAAUAUCAAAUUUGACCUCCAUUUUGUCAUCAGUAUCAACAUAUUAAAAUUUGAAAAGCUUCGGUUGAAUGGUUCAUGAGUAAAUGCACGGACACGACUGGAAAAGCC
This 207-nucleotide long non-coding RNA is filed under the name Mytilus galloprovincialis (Mediterranean mussel). The record is from RNAcentral. Lineage: Eukaryota; Metazoa; Mollusca; Bivalvia; Mytilida; Mytilidae.